This is a small nucleolar RNA of Drosophila melanogaster (fruit fly), 82 nucleotides long. It matches the Rfam family "Small nucleolar RNA Me28S-Gm3113". From Rfam's summary of the family: Me28S-Gm3113 is a member of the C/D class of snoRNA which contain the C (UGAUGA) and D (CUGA) box motifs. This family directs 2'-O-methylation of 28S G-3113. Lineage: Eukaryota; Metazoa; Arthropoda; Insecta; Diptera; Drosophilidae. The record is from Rfam.
GGUUUUUGUGAUGACAUAGCUAUUUUACCUUGGGACACCUAUGAAAUGCCUUGAUUAGCGUAAACGUCAAUAUCUGAUAAAU